Molecule: ribosomal RNA, 460 nt
Filed under: uncultured Planctomycetaceae bacterium
Lineage: Bacteria; Pseudomonadati; Planctomycetota; Planctomycetia; Planctomycetales; Planctomycetaceae
Description: bacterial SSU rRNA
Rfam family: Bacterial small subunit ribosomal RNA
Source: RNAcentral
AAUGAACGUUGGCGGCGUGGAUUAGGCAUGCAAGUCGAGCGAGAAGCUUAGAAUUGAUCUUUCGAGUGAUUUUCUGAGUGGACAGCGGCGAAAGGGAGAGUAACGAGUAGAUACGUACCCAAGGGUGCGGGAUAGCGGGGAGAAAUCGCCGGUAAUACCGCAUAAUGUCUCCGGACCAAAGAUUUAUCGCCCUUGGAGCGGUCUGCUUCCUAUUAGUUAGUUGGUGGGGUAAUGGCCUACCAAGACUGUGAUGGGUAGCGGGUGUGAGAGCAUGGCCCGUCUCACUGGGACUGAGACACUGCCCAGACACCUACGGGUGGCUGCAGUCGAGAAUCUUUGUCAAUGGACGAAAGUCUGAACAAGCGACGCCGCGUGCGGGAUGAAGGCCCUCGGGUUGUAAACCGCUGUCAUAGGGGAGGAAAUUUUGACCGAUCCUAAGAGGAAGCACAGGCUAAAUUCG